GUCAUCAAUUGAUCAUAUUGUUGUCUGCUCAAACCUGGAACCAAAAAACCUUGUUCAUCCACAUUUGGAACAGAUUGGUGACCCUCAGUGGAAUUACCAAUAAGAUCAGAUGUGUGCCCUUCAGAAAGAUUGAAGUGAGCACCAGUAGUUACAUGAACAACAGCAGUUUUCAUUCCUUUGUUAAACUUGAGGUUUUGAGGAUACCCAUGAAGCUUGUAACACUUAUCAAUUAAGUGCCAAGAUUCUUGAAGUAUCUACAAAAUAAAGACCCCUUGGUCUGAUCAAAACUGACUCUUUGUGUAUAUUGUCUGAGAGAAGAAGGAUUAGGUACUGCAGCUUGGUUCAUUCCAAAAGAAGAUGCAAGACUUUUGUUUGUAUUAACACUGAAAGACAUGGAAUCAGGAUUGAAUUGAGAGUUGGAUUGGACUUGUCUUUGUUUCUCAUCAUUAAGGAGAAUGUUAUACACACUGUCAAGACUAGGGGGAGGUUGCAUCAUCAACAAGUUGCUCCUUACCCCUAUAUAUGUCUCAUUAAGGCCCAUGAGAAAUUGGAACACCUUAUUUU
Molecule: long non-coding RNA, 564 nt
Filed under: Nicotiana benthamiana
Lineage: Eukaryota; Viridiplantae; Streptophyta; Magnoliopsida; Solanales; Solanaceae
Description: long non-coding RNA (NBEN_LNC026042)
Source: RNAcentral